Long non-coding RNA from Arachis duranensis, 956 nucleotides. RefSeq lists it as uncharacterized. The transcript has 4 exons. The record is from RefSeq and is a predicted model, not a curated record. Lineage: Eukaryota; Viridiplantae; Streptophyta; Magnoliopsida; Fabales; Fabaceae.
UCUGUCCCUCGCACACGCCAGAACCGCCGUCGCACAGAAUCCCCUUCGCACACGCCAUCGCAGACUCGCACGUCUCGCGGUCUCGGUCCAAGGCGUGUUCUCCUCGUCGUGUCGUCUCCAUCCCGUGAAUGUCUGCGUCCUACUCUCCCGUCCUGUGAGCGUCGCUGUCCUCCGCGUCCCGUGAACGUUGCUGUCCUCCCCGUCCUGAACGCCGCCGUCGUUCUUCCUGAUUCCUGUCGCUCAUCCCUCGCGCCGUUGGCUUCGGUGGCGCCAUUUUGCUGUGCGUAGCUUUGGCCAACUUCAUCUCCGACCGCCGUUGGACGAAGAAGAAACCGAUUAUGAAGAAAAGCAGAGGAGUGGUUGCUCUUCAAAUUAUCCAAGAGAAAUACUAAAUGGGGGUUUCUUGAGGGUGUGAGUAUGUCUGAUGCACCGCCACCUAGAACGGUCUUGGUGCAGCAGUGUAUCCGUGAUAGAGGUGUAUUGGAAGUUCUAUGCAACUAUGAUGCUAUCAGUCUACUAAAAUUAAGGAGUGAAAGAACUAGAAAUGGUGGCAACGUAUGAAGAAGCGAGAGAUUAUAUGGCACAAGUGCAAGAAGCAUUUCAAGAUAAGAAAGAAGACUAUCAUUGCUUUAUGCAACUUCUCCAACUUCUCGAAGAUCAUUUCUUCUUGUGUGUUUUGUGUUUUGUGUGUGUGUGCAACUGUUCUUUUCCUUUUACUAAAUUACUAAUCAUGCAGUAAUGUUUGUUGCCACUUUGCUUUCUUAAUUAGUUAAUUCUUUCCUUGCCUCUUUUAUUAGAUAAUGUCAGUUGGCAGUUUAUAAACUAGCUUCUCUACCGUAGGUAGAUGGUGGAUGAAAAUCUGAGAGUGCACUCAAGACAUAUUCUGAACUUUCACCAUGUGAAUGACAGUUCAAAACUCAUUUAAAAAUUCAAACCAGAUUUAUUUGUUACUUACC